AUCCUUUUGUAGUUGAUAAGCAUGAUGAUAGGGUUUCAUAUAAUUGUAGGAGAUGUGGCCACCCAUAAACCUUGUCAGCACUUGACCAGUCUGAUG
Molecule: small nucleolar RNA, 96 nt
Filed under: Erinaceus europaeus (western European hedgehog)
Lineage: Eukaryota; Metazoa; Chordata; Mammalia; Eulipotyphla; Erinaceidae
Description: Small nucleolar RNA U13 (ENSEEUG00000023196.1)
Rfam family: Small nucleolar RNA U13
Source: RNAcentral